Molecule: long non-coding RNA, 1040 nt
Organism: Mugil cephalus (flathead mullet)
Lineage: Eukaryota; Metazoa; Chordata; Actinopteri; Mugiliformes; Mugilidae
Exons: 3
Source: RefSeq, a predicted model, not a curated record
UAUCUUGUCUGUGAACCUGUAGCCUUCCAGUUCGCUCCCUGUCUCAGUGCAUCCAGGAACCUCAUGUACAGUGGCACAGCAGCCAGGGCCUUCACCUGCUGAGACGCUACAGCCAGGACUCUACCUGCAGGUUCACCACCACCACCACCACCAAAGGAUGUCUCCUCAGCUAGUGGUGAACCUUGGCAUCAACCUCUGAUGUAUCCAGCCCCAUCACAAGCCCCACAAAAAGAAAAGUGUCACCACCUGGACGCACACUGUUUCUCCUGUGUCUCUUCCUCCUUCUCCUGUUCCUGUAUCAAGCUUCUUCCAUUCUGCCUCCACUGCUACAGCUGAACCCCCUCUGCUCCUCUCACCUUGCCAUUGCCUAAAAAUGUGGGGAUCGUACCUGUUUCAGAUGCUGCCUGGAUGCCCACAAAGCUGCUAAAGACAUUUCAGCAGCCCUGUGGAAAGACCAGCGUCUUUUCAAAGACCUGAAACUGUGGUAUGAUCCACCAGAGUCCUCCCUCAUAUACCAUCAGGUCCUCACUCCUGAGCGCUUCUUCCACCACGACUUUUCUCAUGGAAAAAACAUGGUGUGACAUUCUUUGUCAAUAUGUAUAUAAUGUAAAUAGUUUUAAAAGAAAAAAGUCUUAAUUUGCUGCUGUUCUAUUUUGUUUUUUAACUUUAACACACGUGUUUGUGAGUGUGUGUGUGAAAUUUGUAAUAAAUUUGUUACAUUUCAGUGACUGUCUUCAUUUUUUACUGCAAAAAUGCAAACUCACUCAUAGAAAACGAUAACAUUGUUGCAGUACUUCAUUCAGAAAUAUAAAAAUGACUAUAAAAGUACAUUUAGGUACAUGUGAUAACACUUGGUAGUAGUCUGUGUUAAAGGCCUCAUGUUCCAACGGUGGAAUCGAACCGGCGACCUUUGGGUCAAGAGCCUCCUAUGCUUUUCUGCAGUUAAGUGUCAUAUUUGGUUAAAUUUCUCAAAUUAAUAGACCAGAAUAUGUGUGAUUUUACUUGUGAUGGACAGUAGAGACACUAAUAACUACAGGGUC